Molecule: ribosomal RNA, 468 nt
Filed under: uncultured bacterium
Lineage: Bacteria
Description: partial 16S ribosomal RNA
Rfam family: Bacterial small subunit ribosomal RNA
Source: RNAcentral
GACGAACGCUGGCGGCGUGCUUAACACAUGCCAGUCGAACGGAAAGGCCCUGCUUUUGUGGGGUGCUCGAGUGGCGAACGGGUGAGUAACACGUGAGUAACCUGCCCUUGACUUUGGGAUAACUUCAGGAAACUGGGGCUAAUACCGGAUAGGAGCUCCUGCUGCAUGGUGGGGGUUGGAAAGUUUCGGCGGUUGGGGAUGGACUCGCGGCUUAUCAGCUUGUGGGUGGGGUAGUGGCUUACCAAGGCUUUGACGGGUAGCCGGCCUGAGAGGGUGACCGGCCACAUUGGGACUGAGAUACGGCCCAGACUCCUACGGGAGGCAGCAGUGGGGAAUAUUGCACAAUGGGCGGAAGCCUGAUGCAGCAACGCCGCGUGCGGGAUGACGGCCUUCGGGUUGUAAACCGCUUUCGCCUGUGACGAAGCGUGAGUGACGGUAAUGGGUAAAGAAGCACCGGCUAACUACGUG